This 104-nucleotide transfer RNA is filed under the name Pseudomonas putida. Its description in RNAcentral is "tRNA-OTHER". The record is from RNAcentral. Lineage: Bacteria; Pseudomonadati; Pseudomonadota; Gammaproteobacteria; Pseudomonadales; Pseudomonadaceae.
GCGGGCGGCGUAAGCUGUUGAUUAUGUUAGGUUUGCCUUCGCCUGAUAUGAUUUAGGUUCCAGCGCCGCAAGGUGUAAGAGUUCGAGUCUCUUCGUCCGCACCA